UUCACUAGUGAUUAGGGUUUGAUCAUGGCUCAGAUUGAACGCUGGCGGCAGGCCUAACACAUGCAAGUCGAGCGGAAACGAGUUAUCUGAACCUUCGGGGGACGAUAACGGCGUCGAGCGGCGGACGGGUGUAGUAAUGCCUAGGAAAUUGCCCUGAUGUGGGGGAUAACCAUUGKAAACGAUGGCUAAUACCGCAUAAUACCUACGGGUCAAAGAGGGGGACCUUCGGGCCUCUCGCGUCAGGAUAUGCCUAGGUGGGAUUAGCUAGUUGGUGAGGUAAUGGCUCACCAAGGCGACGUUCCCUAGCUGGUCUGAGAGGAUGAUCAGCCACACUGGAACUGAGACACGGUCCAGACUCCUACGGGAGGCAGCAGUGGGGAAUAUUGCACAAUGGGCGCAAGCUGAUGCAGCCAUGCCGCGUGUGUGAAGAAGGCCUUCGGGUUGUAAAGCACUUUCAGUAGGGAGGAAGGUUCAUGCGUUAAUAGCGUAUGGAUUUSACGUUACCUACAGAAGAAGCACCGGCUAACUCCGUGCCAGCAGCCGCGGUAAUACGGAGGGUGCGAGCGUUAAUCGGAAUUACUGGGCGUAAAGCGCAUGCAGGUGGUUUGUUAAGUCAGAUGUGAAAGCCCGGGGCUCAACCUCGGAAUAGCAUUUGAAACUGGCAGACUAGAGUACUGUAGAGGGGGGUAGAAUUUMAGGUGUAGCGGUGAAAUGCGUAGAGAUCUGAAGGAAUACCGGUGGCGAAGGCGGCCCCCUGGACAGAUACUGACACUCAGAUGCGAAAGGUGGGGAGCAAACAGGAUUAGAUACCCUGGUAGUCCACGCCGUAAACGAUGUCUACUUGGAGGUUGUGGCCUUGAGCCGUGGCUUUCGGAGCUAACGCGUUAAGUAGACCGCCUG
RNAcentral lists this ribosomal RNA (900 nucleotides) under Vibrio harveyi. RNAcentral describes it as "bacterial SSU rRNA". It matches the Rfam family "Bacterial small subunit ribosomal RNA", at positions 1 to 875 of the family's 1533-position model. Lineage: Bacteria; Pseudomonadati; Pseudomonadota; Gammaproteobacteria; Vibrionales; Vibrionaceae. The record is from RNAcentral.